CAAGGAAAUUCAUCGAUUAUAAUUUUUGAUUAUCAGUUUUAGGCUUAACUUAACGAGCCGUGUGUACGGGUGCCGAUUGUAGACGGCGUUCAGUGGCGUCACUCCAGCAGACCGGAUAAGGAAAGAGUUAAGUUCGAUGAAAGUACAGUUUUAAUUUCAUCGAGACUCGAAGGAUUGGUACAAAGUUGUUUGACAUUUCAGACAGUGGAGGCGUCGUUGUAAUGGCAUUUACUCGAGCGAAGAGUAAAACGAAGUAAACUAAGGAAUACGAGCUACUUGAUGCGAGAUGUUAGAAGGCUAGUCUCUGAGUAACCUUACCAUUUUGCCGUGUGUGAGAGAGAUUCCUUUCCUCGAGGUCCAAAGAAUGACGAUAUCUUGAUGUCUCGAGCACUGAGGUCUGUCAACUAUCGCACCAAAGUUAUCACUAUCGACGAUAAGAAGCAACUUUUCUCACGAAACGUGGAAAAAGACUGUUGAAAGUGAUUGAUCCGUUGGGAUUGCUCUGCAGCAGGUUUAUGUUCCACGGAACCAUCCUUCCAGCAUUUAUACGAAACAAUGACGUCAAACGGGAGCACGCUAAUCGUACAGUGACGUAUCACGGCAGGUGAUAAACGACCUGGUAAACUAGAAUGAUCGAUGGGAACUCCGAGCUACGUGCAUCCUCGAGCGUUGCAUCCGGUUGGAGCCUCUUGUUUUCCUCGAGUACCGCGAAAUUACGGUGGGGUUGUUAUUUUCGGAGACCGACAUUCAUUUGUUCUAGUAAAAAGCGCUAAAUUCCAGGAUAUCGUCCAGCGUUUUGCGAUUGGUCACUGGGCGACUUAUCGCGUACGGCGUUCCAUUAGCAGGGACCGUCUUCGUCGUGAAUCACUUUUGCAUUUACGCGGAAGAGGAUCGGUACGCGUUCGAAGGAAUUACGCAACGGGGCCACCGCAGCUACGCGCUUGAACGAUAUUUCUCUUGGAGGCUGUACUUGUUUACGCGCUACACCCAGUCACGCGUCGAAGGAGUCACGCGUAGUUUAACUUGUGACUGGAAAACACGGUGAUUUAACGCGCUCGAGAUCGAGGACUCUGCGGAUGAGCAUACGCGAUGCUACGAUCAAUUUAGCAGAUGACGCGGCCCGCAGAUCUUCGUAAAUUAACUGCUUCUGAAUUACUUUUACAUGGUUGCGAGACUAAAACUGAUUAAUUCGAAAUAUUCUGAUAUC
Molecule: long non-coding RNA, 1207 nt
Organism: Hylaeus anthracinus
Lineage: Eukaryota; Metazoa; Arthropoda; Insecta; Hymenoptera; Colletidae
Exons: 3
Source: RefSeq, a predicted model, not a curated record